Molecule: ribosomal RNA, 406 nt
Filed under: uncultured bacterium
Lineage: Bacteria
Description: partial 16S ribosomal RNA
Rfam family: Bacterial small subunit ribosomal RNA
Source: RNAcentral
AUUGAACGCUGGCGGCAGGCCUAACACAUGCAAGUCGAGCGAGCGGCGGACGGGUGAGUAAUGUAUGGGGAUCUGCCCGAUAGAGGGGGAUAACUACUGGAAACGGUGGCUAAUACCGCAUACUAUCGGAUGAACCCAUAUGGGAUUAGUUAGUAGGUGGGGUAAAGGAUCACCUAUGGGACGAGCCCUAGCUGGUCUGAGAGGAUGACCAGCGACACUGGAGCGAAGACACGGUCCAGAGUCCUACGGGAGGCAGCAGUGGAGAAUAUUGCACAAUGGGCGCAAACCUAAUACAGCCAUGCCGCGUGUAUGAAGAAGGCCUUCGGGUUGUAAAGUAGUUUCAGCGAGGAGGCGUUACUCGCAGAAGAAGCACCGGCUAACUCCGUGCCAGCAGCCGCGGUAAUUC